Long non-coding RNA from Populus nigra (black poplar), 1484 nucleotides. RefSeq lists it as uncharacterized. Lineage: Eukaryota; Viridiplantae; Streptophyta; Magnoliopsida; Malpighiales; Salicaceae. The record is from RefSeq and is a predicted model, not a curated record. The transcript is spliced from 3 exons.
UUUUCCAGAAAAGAAGGGAAAACACAAAAAAACCCUAAACCCGUUUCAUUUUCCUCUUCUGGUCGCUCCCUCCCUUUGAAAAGAAAGAAACAGAGCCGCCCUCCCUAGCUUAGGAUUUUCGCUCCCGUGAACCAGCAGAAGCCUUCCUCUUCUCCAUCCAACAGCCCCGCUCACUGCCCCUGCACUCUCCUUUCUCUGCCGCCAGCCAAACAAACCAUUCCCCCAUCUUCUUCUCCCAAGUCAGCCACCAGCGAGCCCCUCCAUUUCUCCAUCUCAGCCACUUACCCCACAGACACCCGACCACAGCACCAACACUCCCUUCUCCCCAAUUCCAGCCUUUUCCCUUCGGUUUCAUUUUCCCUCCUCGCCAGCCAAAAGCUUUCCUUUCCCCUCAGCCCCAAAACAAACCCAAACCGGCCAUUUCCAGUUUCUGGUCCCAUAGCCGGCCAUCAACACAAACUCUCAGUCUCUCCCACCAGCCGUCCCGUCUCUUCCCUCAUCUCUCUCAACAGACUCAACUGCUGCCGUCUUCCCUCUCAUCUUCCCUCUCCUGGCCAACCACAGGCCCCCAGCCAUUUCUUCCCCUGCACUCGAAGCAGCCCUCUCUGUCAACUUAGCCCCAGACCGGCCUCCACCGAGUCCCACAACAGCAGCAACCAUUUCUUCUUAGCAGAGACAAGACAGACGCGAAUGAGAGGAAGGGCUAGCAGAAGGAAAGAAGAUAAACAGACGAAGACACAGAGAGACCAACCAGCACGCCUUCACCAUCGCCUGUGUCCCUUCGUUCCGUCUCCAGUUUCUUCUCCUCAAGUGGUGCAACUUUUGUUUUUCUUCCACAGGAACAGGUAUUAGCCGAAGCAGCAGCCCAGCAAUGAGACCAGUUGUUUCAUCCCAGUCGACGCCACCCACCAGCUUCAUCCCCGCACCAGAACCGGUUACUGGUUUGAGCCAGUAACCGGGUUGAGCUUGGAAAUAAAUCCCCGAGCACCAGCUUCGUCCAUGCACCAGGUCGUUGGUGAUGCAGUCGAUAAAACUGUAGAAUAAAUCCCGAUGAUGGCCCUGCCUCUUCGAGCGGGUUUCACAGCGGAAUCAAUUCACCCGCAAGUACCAAGCACUUUGGAAGGACAACUUUUCAAUAUUCACAAACAUUAAGGCCGCCUGAGUAAUAACAUCGACGCUCAAAUCAUCGAUGGAGAUUCUAUUAUUUCAAUGGAAUCAGGUUUCCAAACAUCCUAAAUGGAGACCUUAUAUCGAUGCAUGGUUUCGAAGAUUUCAGAUUGGUGUUAAGUUCCGAUUUCCAGCUUAUUUUUAAUAAAUUAUUAUUUUUUUUAAAUAAAUUAUUUAUACACAUCACAAAUUCGAGUGGGACAGCGCAUAUGAAAAUGUUGUAAGGAGGGUGUGGGAAAAUCAUGCGGCAAGUAGGUAACAUAAAAAACAAUAAGAUAGUUUUUAGAAACAAUUUAUUGUGUGAUUUUAAUAUCUAA